AAGGUGUUGUGAUUAAUAACCGCAGCAAUUGACGUUACCCGCAGAAGAAGCACCGGCUAACUCCGUGCCAGCAGCCGCGGUAAUACGGAGGGUGCAAGCGUUAAUCGGAAUUACUGGGCGUAAAGCGCACGCAGGCGGUCUGUCAAGUCGGAUGUGAAAUCCCCGGGCUCAACCUGGGAACUGCAUUCGAAACUGGCAGGCUAGAGUCUUGUAGAGGGGGGUAGAAUUCCAGGUGUACCGGUGAAAUGCGUACAGAUCUGGAGGAAUACCGGUGGCGAAGGCGGCCCCCUGGACAAAGACUGACUCUCAGGUGCGAAAGCGUGAGGAGCAAACAGGAUUAAAUAC
This 345-nucleotide ribosomal RNA is filed under the name Enterobacter cloacae. Its description in RNAcentral is "bacterial SSU rRNA". It matches the Rfam family "Bacterial small subunit ribosomal RNA", at positions 444 to 785 of the family's 1533-position model. The record is from RNAcentral. Lineage: Bacteria; Pseudomonadati; Pseudomonadota; Gammaproteobacteria; Enterobacterales; Enterobacteriaceae.